UACGUAGGGGGCAAGCGUUGUCCGGAAUUAUUGGGCGUAAAGGGCUCGUAGGCGGUCCAUCACGUCGGGAGUGAAAAGCUGGGGCUUAACCCCAGUCCUGCUUCCGAUACGGGUGGACUAGAGGUAGGCAGGGGAGAACGGAAUUCCUGGUGUAGCGGUGAAAUGCGUAGAUAUUGGGAGGAACACCAGUGGCGAAGGCGGCUACCUGGACCGGUUCUGACGCUGAGGCGCGAAAGCGUGGGUAGCAAACAGG
This 253-nucleotide ribosomal RNA is filed under the name uncultured bacterium. RNAcentral describes it as "partial 16S ribosomal RNA". It matches the Rfam family "Bacterial small subunit ribosomal RNA", at positions 524 to 776 of the family's 1533-position model. The record is from RNAcentral.